AUUGAACGCUGGCGGCAUGCUUUACACAUGCAAGUCGAACGGUAACAGGCCUUCGGGUGCUGACGAGUGGCGAACGGGUGAGUAAUGCAUCGGAACGUACCCAGAGGUGGGGGAUAACGCAGCGAAAGCUGUGCUAAUACCGCAUGUGAUCUGAGGAUGAAAGCGGGGGACCGAGCAGCAAUGUUUGGCCUCGCGCCUUUGGAGCGGCCGAUGUCGGAUUAGCUAGUUGGUGGGGUAAAGGCCUACCAAGGCGACGAUCCGUAGCUGGUCUGAGAGGACGACCAGCCACACUGGGACUGAGACACGGCCCAGACUCCUACGGGAGGCAGCAGUGGGGAAUUUUGGACAAUGGGCGCAAGCCUGAUCCAGCAAUGCCGCGUGCGGGAAGAAGGCCUCCGGGUUGUAAACCGCUUUUGGCAGGAACGAAACGGUGUCCGCUAAUACCGGGCGCUAAUGACGGUACCUGCAGAAUAAGCACCGGCUAACUACGUG
This 492-nucleotide ribosomal RNA is filed under the name uncultured bacterium. RNAcentral describes it as "partial 16S ribosomal RNA". It matches the Rfam family "Bacterial small subunit ribosomal RNA", at positions 29 to 507 of the family's 1533-position model. The record is from RNAcentral.